CCCGGCCGUGUGCGCUCCGGGGCCAUGGCCGAGCCGUGCCCGGGGCUGGCCCUGCGCUUCCAGCGCCGCUUCCUGGCGGCGCGGCCGCUCCGCUCGCUGCCCUGGCCGGAACUCGAGCAAAGCCUGCGGACUGCGCCGGACUCCGCGCUGCUGGCGGAUAUUCUGCACAAGACAAUUCUUCACCCUCUGUGUGUGAAAUAUCCCCCUUCAGCCAAGUACAGGAGGUGCUUCCUGACUGAGCUCAUCAAAAAGCUGGAAUCCACAGCAGCUGAACCCCUGGAUGAACUCUACGAGGCACUGGCAGAUGUUCUGAAAGAAGAAGAGGAAUCUACUCACUGUUACAAAAACUACUUACUGCCCUCCGGGGACUGUGUGAGCCUCUGCGAGAGCACAGCGCUGAUCUCCGGGGGCACCACGGGGCUCCUCACCUGGGAGGCUGCCCUGCACCUGGCCCAGUGGGCCCUGCAGAACCCCAGCCUCUUCAGGGGCAGGACAAUCCUGGAAUUGGGGAGUGGGGUUGGCUUCACUGGAAUUGCCAUCUGCAAGAGCUGCCAGCCCAGGACAUUCAUAUUCAGUGACUGCCACCCCCGUGUUCUCAGCCAGCUGGGGGAGAACCUGCAGCUGAACGGCCUCAGCCCGGAGCCGGACGGGACCUGGAGCCUCCAGACAGAGUCCCAGGGACAGGAGGGGGAAGGACAGAGCUGCCAAACCCCCAGAGUGAUUGUGGCUGAGCUGGACUGGGGCUCAGUGACAGAGAAACAGCUGCUGGCCCUCAGAGCUGAUGUUGUGAUUGCAGCAGAUGUGGUGUAUGAUCCUGAGAUAAUUGUAGCCCUCAUUGGGAUGCUACAGAAACUCUCCACCUCCAGAGCAGACAGGAAAGCUCCUGAGGUGUUCAUUGCCUCCACAAUCCGAAAUCCAGCCACGUAUCAGCUGUUCCAGGCUGAGCUGGAUAAAGCUGGGAUCAGGUGGCAGGUGAUUCCAGCCCACAGCAGCUGUAAUUUUCUCUGUGAUGUGCAGCCUGAUGUAACUAUUCUACAGCUAUUUGUAUAACAGCAAACAGAACUGGAAUUUAGAGACCAACAGGAGCCCUGUCAGCCCUGUAACAAGAUUAUCCUGAAUUGUGGAAAGGAGGUUCUGAGGAUACAGCUGGACACAUGGAGUCCUUCCUCCAAUUCCCAGCAUGGAUCCAAGCCUGCAGCUGCCCCUGGGAAGUGACUGAACCUCAAGCAACAGGAACCAAAAAGCCCCAAUCACACUUCACUUGGAUUCUGUAGAAGACAGCAGAAUUCAAGCAGAGAUUUUUCCCAACUCUGUUGUGAUUUUGGCUGCUGGGAAUCCAGGCAGGGCUGGCAAUGAAAAAGGAAUCUCUCUCCAUAGCAGAGUUCCAGGUAUCCUGCAGAAAGGACUGAGCUUCCCUGCUCUGAAACCUCCCAUCAUCAUUCAUCCCUCUCCUGUUGGGUAGCAUUGGUCCUGAAGCACAAACAUCAAAGUGAUGCUCAUUCUUCUCUUUUAGCUUCCUUUUCUCUACUAAAAACUACUUAAAA
RNA transcript from Melozone crissalis (California towhee), 1544 nucleotides. It is a transcript of the gene named eukaryotic elongation factor 2 lysine methyltransferase, with no coding region annotated. Lineage: Eukaryota; Metazoa; Chordata; Aves; Passeriformes; Passerellidae. The transcript has 9 exons. The record is from RefSeq and is a predicted model, not a curated record.